RNAcentral lists this long non-coding RNA (379 nucleotides) under Homo sapiens (human). RNAcentral's name for it is "T cell receptor gamma locus antisense RNA 1". Lineage: Eukaryota; Metazoa; Chordata; Mammalia; Primates; Hominidae. The record is from RNAcentral.
AGUUGAGAGCAGGCCCAGGGCAGAAGGGAGGCAGGGGCAUUAAGAGCUCAGGCCUCCAGCUGAGGGACUGCAGAUGUUGGGUAAGCUGACCCUGGAAUUAACAGGCUCACACCUUGGAGGGGGCAGUCCCAUAGCAGGCUCCCACCCUGCCCUUCAGAGUUGCAGCAGACUCAUGGAGGCAACCACUCAAGGUCACUCUGAGAAGGGUUGAACGUGCUUUAUUAAAAGGACUGAGGAUCAUGUGUGUUGGUGUGUCCCGGAGUCUGCUCUAAGGUAAAUAUGUGUGUGUGUGUGUUGGGGGGGCAGGGGUUGUGCCUGUAAUCCUGUGUGUGUGACCUCCUUAUUAGAGGAUUUUUGUUCAUUAAAGUAGGAGUGUGAA